Molecule: ribosomal RNA, 256 nt
Filed under: Cryphonectria sp. OB1-6
Lineage: Eukaryota; Fungi; Ascomycota; Sordariomycetes; Diaporthales; Cryphonectriaceae
Description: 5.8S ribosomal RNA
Rfam family: 5.8S ribosomal RNA (bases 98-251)
About the family: 5.8S ribosomal RNA (5.8S rRNA) is a component of the large subunit of the eukaryotic ribosome. It is transcribed by RNA polymerase I as part of the 45S precursor that also contains 18S and 28S rRNA.
Source: RNAcentral
GCAAACGGUUGUUGGAGCAGGCCCGCCGGCGGCCCACCAAACUCUUUGUUUUUAUAACCUAUCUCUUCUGAGUACAUUAAAAAAAAAAAUGAAUCAAAACUUUCAACAACGGAUCUCUUGGUUCUGGCAUCGAUGAAGAACGCAGCGAAAUGCGAUAAGUAAUGUGAAUUGCAGAAUUCAGUGAAUCAUCGAAUCUUUGAACGCACAUUGCGCCCGCUGGAAUUCCAGCGGGCAUGCCUGUUCGAGCGUCAUUUCA